Molecule: long non-coding RNA, 4572 nt
Organism: Mirounga angustirostris (Northern elephant seal)
Lineage: Eukaryota; Metazoa; Chordata; Mammalia; Carnivora; Phocidae
Exons: 3
Source: RefSeq, a predicted model, not a curated record
CUGGGAGACGAAGUGCCGGGGCCGAGAUGUUCAUUGCGGGAGAAACGCGCCAGUUCGAUGUCAUUUGGGUUCCUGCUACAUCCAGGCCACCCGUGUUUUUUGCUCGAAAUGAGACAGACUGAACUUGUCAGCCCUUGGUGCAGCACUAAGAAAAGCAGCUCUGAGAGCCGCGGUUGGUAGCCGGCCUGGAUGCCCUCCCUGAUGAACUGAUGCUUUUAGAGACAGAUCUUGACCAAAAGGGAGAAAUGUGAAAAUUAAUAAAGGAAACCUGAACUAAAAUUGGAAUUGGGAAGACUUCUAGAGGAAGCUCUCAUCCCCUACCACUAGUCAGUUAUCCCAAACAGAAAGGUGCCUUGCAUAUCCAACUGGACGGUGUCACUACUUUACUACCCUCCAAGGAGGAAGGAAAAUGUUCUUCUGCCCAGCAACAAGCCCAACCAAUGGAAAACGCUGCAGCUCAGCCAAUGAAAAGCCAUUGUCACCCUGAACUCUUACUUUCCUCCAAUGAACUUUCAUUCUUCCUUUGCCAAUGACUUCCUUGCCCAACCCUCCUUUCUAUAACAGCCUUCCAUUUUGUAGAACUCCUUGGAGUAUGUCUCUGCUUGAUGAGAUACUGCUUGAUUCAUGAAUGACUUAAUAAAGCCAAUUUAAUCUUCAGAUUUACUUUUUGUUUUUUUAACAGGAGAAACCUUGAAGAAAGGACAAAGGGCAGGAAUAAUUGCAGUAUGUGGUUAUCCCAAUAUUCAGAAGAGGGGGAGCAUGAAGGAAGCCUUGUUAACACUUUUAGGUACAUCCUUGUAGAAAUUUUUAAUGUAUGUAGAUAUAUAUUGCACAUUUGAUGUAAAUACCAAAAUACAUCAUUUUAGGAAAAUGUACACAAGACCACUCUUUUUAAAAAAAAAAAAGAUUUCUGCUAGGAGCGCCUGGGUGGCUCAGUUGGUUAAGCGUCUAACUCUUGAUUUCGGCUCAGGUCAUUAUCUCAGGGUCGUGAGAUUGAGCCCUGUGUCAGUGGCUCUGUACUGGGCAUGCCACAUGUCAGGAAAGCAGCAGAGUUAACUGCUUGUCAGAUCAGGUGAUUUAUCUUUCCCAGUAUAUUAAGCAGGAGGGCACUAAGAACUCAGCCAUGUCAUUAAGUACCCAUCUAUUGUACUAUAGCACAAGUAAAAAUUUUGAGUGGCCUUCCAUAUCUAUCAAGGUUCACAAAGAGAGGAACAGUACCAACAGGUAAUGUGUAUAUAUAAUUUGUUACAGGGAUUUGAUACAAUACUCCCCACUGAAUUUCCAGGGAUUAAAUAUUUCAUCAUUCAAAAACUGUAUUACAGUACUUGCUUUUUAAAGAGUUGAAAAACACCUCAUGGGGUGCCUGGGUGGCUCAGUCAGUUAAGUGUCUGCCUUUGGUUCAGGUCGUGAUCCCAGGGUCCUGGGUCGGGGCUCCCUGCUCAGUGGGGAGUCUGCUUCUCCCUCUGCCCCUGCCCCUGCUCAUGCUCUCUCUCACACACUCUCUCUCAAAUUAAAAAAAAAAAAAAAUCUUUUUUUUUUUUUAAAGAUUUUAUUUAUUUGACAGAGAGAGAGAGAGCAAGAGCAGGAACACAAGCAAGGGGAGUGGGAGAGGGAGAAGCAGGCUUCCCGCGGAGCAGGGAGCCCGAUGCGGGGCUUGAUCCCAGGACCCUGGGAUCAUGACCUGAGCCGAAGGCAGACGCUUAACGACUGAGCAACCCAGACGCCCCCUCAAAUUAAAAAAAAUCUUUUUUUUUUUUUUAAAGAUUUUAUUUAUUUAUUUAUUUGACAGAGAGAGAGAAAGAGCGAGAGCAGGAACACAAGCAGGGGGAGUGGGAGAGGGAGAAGCAGGCUUCCCGCGGAGCAGGGAGCCCGAUGCGGGGCUCGAUCCCGGGACCCUGGGAUCAUGACCUGAGCCGAGGGCAGACGCUUAACGACUGAGCCACCCAGGCGCCCCAAAUUAAAAAAAAUCUUAAAAAAAGAAAAAGAAAGAGUUGAAAAGCACCUCAGAGCACUGGUUUAUCUGUAAUAUUUUGUCCCCAAACAAUGAAAUAGUCAAUAUAUCAAAAUGUCAACAUUUCUUACAUUUAUAGUAUCUGUAAUUUUCUGCACAUUUUAAAUAUUCCGGUUUUUUUUUAAUGGAAGUUACUGAGAAAAAGAGGCAGAGAAGAGCUGCAAGCUGCCCUGCCUCUGGCACAUCUUUUUUUCUUUCCACUCUUUAUUGAGAUAUAAUUGACAUCUUAUGGUCAAUCUUGAUGUAUAUCCUGAUCCAAAUGAAGUUUUCUGACUCUCCUGAGCCCCACAGAAAUGAAGGUAUCUAACUGUACAUAGUUUUGUUUAUAAGCAUCUUUCAUACAUAGUUUAUAAUCAAGCUAAAAGCUCAGAGUGAAAACAGAGAGACCUUAGCUCACUAAUGUCCAAGCCAAGGCUUUUUUCUUGCUUGCCCUGAUGAGGAAAUGGUCAAGGGAUUGCCCAGUAUCACCCAGUCCACCUGCAGUCUUCUGCUAGGCAAAAAAACCAUUUAAGCAAGUAACUAUUAAGCUCAGAGAGGUGCCAUAAUUCCUCUUUGACUUUUUAAUACAAAGUGCGGUUUGAAAUAACUGCAAAGUAAUCCCUGAAGGAACUGAAUCCAAGGGUCCAGCCUCCUGGAGUGAUGACUUACUUCUUGAAGCAUUCAUGCUGCUUCAAAGGUGCAUUUUUCUUUUAUUGGGGCGCCUGGGUGGCUCAGAUGGUUAAGCAUCUGCCUUCGGCUCAGGUCAUGAUCCCAGGGUCCUGGGAUUGAGCCCCGCGUCAGGCUCCCUGCUUAGCAGGGAGCCUGCUCCCCCUGCUCAUGUUCUCUCUCUCUCUAUCUCUGUGUCUUGAAUGAAUAAACAAAAAAACUUAAAAAAAAAUGCAUUUUUCUUUUAUUGACAUAAAAUUGUCAUAUAACAUAUUCAUGUCAGGUGUAUCACAUAAUUCAAUAUUUGCAUAUACUACAAAGUGAUCACAAGUCUAGUUACCAUCUGAUACCAUACAACUGACCUCCUUCACAAAGGUGUAUUUUUCUAUAUUGGUCAAGAAAAUUCUCCAGAUGAGGUUGUGACUGCUGAACCAGCCUUCAUCCAAUCUGGGUUAUCUCAUCCCUCAUCUCUGCCUACUAGAACACCUGGCCUCAAGGAGAAACAUUACAUUUGGACAGGCUCUAUGCUGCUGUUGGACAGUUCAAUUUGCUGUUUUACUUCAUUCUUUACUUCUCUCAAUGGGAAAGAAAGCCAGAAAAGGGGCUUGUUAGCCAACCUGGAAGAUCUCUCUCUUUUGGGUUCAAGAGUGCAGCACUUAAGAAUGAGUGCAUACGAUAGAACCAGAGUGUUUCAGUGUGCCAACAUUUAUACCUGCCAUCUACAGGUGUUCGUGACUCUGUACCUCAGUUCCCUUCCACUAAAUGGUGAUGGUAGUAACAUCUACUGCUGGAUCACUAUGAUGUUAAAUGAAAUUGAGUAUUCAGAACCAGUACAAACCACAGUGAAGGUACAAUACAUGUAAACUAUUGUUAUCCUCAUUGCUAUCUGACAGAUACUAUGGCUUUGAAUAAAAAAGCCUUCUCUGAGCCUUGGGGAUCCUGCCUACCCAUUGGCACUCUCCUGGGGAAGGGGGGAGCAAAGCUUAAUGGGCAAAGUGUUCUUUCAAGGGAUAUUAACUGGAAAAUUUUAAUAGACUCCAGACAAUAACAAACUUCUGUACCAUUUGUUACGGAUGAGUGGCUUCCACAGAAGAGCUCAUGUUUGAAACUUAAAAAUAGUCGUUGAAAGGUAUUAAAUUUGUGAUAAUCUAUUUACAUAAACAACGGGGAAUAAAAAGGCAGGUCAGUCUCUGAGAGGAUACAUCUUGGGAUGAUCUUCACUUGUGAAUUGUUUUUAUUUUUUUAAGAUUUUAAAAAUUUAUUUAUUUGACAAAGAGAGACACAGCGAGAGAGGGAACACAAGCAGGGGGAGUGGGAGAGGGAGAAGCAGGCUUCCCGCUGAGCAGGGAACCCAAAGAGGGGCUCCAUCCCAGGACUCCUGGAUCAUGACCUGAGCUAAAGGCAGCCGCUUAACAACUGAGCCACCCAGGUGCCCUGGCUAAGUCUCUCUUAAUGGACUACAUGAACGUAUCUUCUUGGACCUGGCUUCGCAGUCCCUUAAUUCUGAAGCACUAUUUUGGGGGUAUAAUUUUAGUAUUUGCCUCAGAUUGGAUGCUUGCAUUUUAUCUCCAGAUCCAGACUUUUCUACAGUGUGACCUGUGAUGGAGUCAUUGUGGGCUUUCUUAAGAACACCUACCUGAUUUUUAUAGGACUCAUUUUCUGUAAUUUUGCUUAAUUUUCUCCUUGUACAUUUUCACCUCCCUUGAAAGCUCUUGCUUUUACUUUUCCCAUUUUUCUUUUCUGGAAUCAGCUUCUUCUGACAAGCUGCUCUUUCCUCUACUAUUGUCAUCCACUCAUUCUCUGCCACUAUUCCAAGCAUUUCCUUAAUAUAACCAGUGAUUUUGAAAUAAUAUGCUCUGCUAAACCUGUGAUGAAUGCCUUCAUCUCUUCCUCUGAAGAGAGUCUCCAAAAAUUAA